AGCAGCCGCGGUAAUUCCAGCUCCAAUAGCGUAUAUUAAAGUUGUUGCAGUUAAAAGGCUCGUAGUUGAAUUUCGGGAUCAGUACGCUGGUCGUGCCUUUGGUAUGUACUGGUGUCACUGAUUCCUCCCUUCUGAAGAACCGUUAUGCCAUUUAUUUGGUGUGGCGGGGAAUCAGGACUGUUACUUUGAAAAAUUAGAGUGUUUAAAGCAGGCUCACGCUUGAAUACAUUAGCAUGGAAUAAUGAAAUAGGACGUUUGAUUCUAUUUUGUUGGUUUCUAGGAUCGACGUAAUGAUUAAUAGGGAUAGUUGGGGGCAUUAGUAUUCAAUUGUCAGAGGUGAAAUUCUUGGAUUUUAUUGAAGACUAACUACUGCGAAAGCAUUUGCCAAGGAUGUUCUCAUUAAUCAAAG
This 409-nucleotide ribosomal RNA is filed under the name uncultured Glomeromycotina. RNAcentral describes it as "SSU rRNA". It matches the Rfam family "Eukaryotic small subunit ribosomal RNA", at positions 569 to 981 of the family's 1831-position model. Lineage: Eukaryota; Fungi; Glomeromycota. The record is from RNAcentral.